GCUACACAUGCAGUCGAACGGUAACAGGAAGCAGCUUGCUGCUUUGCUGACGAGUGGCGGACGGGUGAGUAAUGUCUGGGAAACUGCCCGAUGGAGGGGGAUAACUACUGGAAACGGUAGCUAAUACCGCAUAACGUCUGACCAAAGAGGGGGACCUUCGGGCCUCUUGCCAUCGGAUGUGCCCAGAUGGGAUUAGCUAGUAGGUGGGGUAACGGCUCACCUAGGCGACGAUCCCUAGCUGGUCUGAGAGGAUGACCAGCCACACUGGAACUGAGACACGGUCCAGACUCCUACGGGAGGCAGCAGUGGGGAAUAUUGCACAAUGGGCGCAAGCCUGAUGCAGCCAUGCCGCGUGUAUGAAGAAGGCCUUCGGGUUGUAAAGUACUUUCAGCGAGGAGGAAGGUGUUGUGGUUAAUAACCGCAGCAAUUGACGUUACUCGCAGAAGAAGCACCGGCUAACUCCGUGCCAGCAGCCGCGGUAAUACGGAGGGUGCAAGCGUUAAUCGGAAUUACUGGGCGUAAAGCGCACGCAGGCGGUCUGUUAAGUCAGAUGUGAAAUCCCCGGGCUCAACCUGGGAACUGCAUUUGAAACUGGCAGGCUUGAGUCUCGUAGAGGGGGGGUAGAAUUCCAGGUGUAGCGGUGAAAUGCGUAGAGAUCUGGAGGAAUACCGGUGGCGAAGGCGGCCCCCUGGACGAAGACUGACGCUCAGGUGCGAAAGCGUGGGGAGCAAACAGGAUUAGAUACCCUGGUAGUCCACGCUGUAAACGAUGUCGACUUGGAGGUUGUGCCCUUGAGGCGUGGCUUCCGGAGCUAACGCGUUAAGUCGACCGCCUGGGGAGUACGGCCGCAAGGUUAAAAACUCAAAUGAAUUGACGGGGGCCCGCACAAGCGGUGGAGCAUGUGGUUUAAUUCGAUGCAACGCGAAGAACCUUACCUACUCUUGACAUCCAGAGAACUUAGCAGAGAUGCUUUGUGCCUUCGGGACUCUGAGACAGGUGCUGCAUGGCUGUCGUCAGCUCGUGUUGUGAAAUGUUGGGUUAAGUCCCGCAACGAGCGCAACCCUUAUCCUUUGUUGCCAGCGGUUAGGCCGGGAACUCAAAGGAGACUGCCAGUGAUAAACUGGAGGAAGGUGGGGAUGACGUCAAGUCAUCAUGGCCCUUACGAGUAGGGCUACACACGUGCUACAAUGGCAUAUACAAAGAGAAGCGACCUCGCGAGAGCAAGCGGACCUCAUAAAGUAUGUCGUAGUCCGGAUUGGAGUCUGCAACUCGACUCCAUGAAGUCGGAAUCGCUAGUAAUCGUAGAUCAGAAUGCUACGGUGAAUACGUUCCCGGGCCUUGUACACACCCCCGUCGCACCAUGGGAGUGGGUUGCAAAAGAAGUAGGUAGCUUAACCUUCGGGAGGGCGCUACCAUCUUG
This 1420-nucleotide ribosomal RNA is filed under the name Pseudocitrobacter faecalis. RNAcentral describes it as "bacterial SSU rRNA". It matches the Rfam family "Bacterial small subunit ribosomal RNA". The record is from RNAcentral. Lineage: Bacteria; Pseudomonadati; Pseudomonadota; Gammaproteobacteria; Enterobacterales; Enterobacteriaceae.